UUCGUUCGCGGUAUUAAAAGU
Non-coding RNA from Caenorhabditis elegans, 21 nucleotides. The record is from Ensembl. NCBI's taxonomy places the organism in Eukaryota, Metazoa, Nematoda, Chromadorea, Rhabditida, Rhabditidae.